AAUAUAGUGCCUGAUUUAAAAGGAUAGCUUUGAUAGAGCUAAUUAUGUAAUUUUCUUUACCUAUAUUA
RNAcentral lists this transfer RNA (68 nucleotides) under Gecarcoidea lalandii. Its description in RNAcentral is "tRNA-Ile". Lineage: Eukaryota; Metazoa; Arthropoda; Malacostraca; Decapoda; Gecarcinidae. The record is from RNAcentral.